RNAcentral lists this ribosomal RNA (274 nucleotides) under uncultured bacterium. RNAcentral's name for it is "partial 16S ribosomal RNA". It matches the Rfam family "Bacterial small subunit ribosomal RNA", at positions 523 to 796 of the family's 1533-position model. The record is from RNAcentral.
AUACGGAGGGUGCAAGCGUUGUUCGGAAUUACUGGGCGUAAAGCGCGCGUAGGCGGUCUGUUAUGUCAGAUGUGAAAGUCCUCGGCUCAACCGGGGAAGUGCAUUUGAAACUGGCAGACUUGAGUACUGGAGGGGGUGGUGGAAUUCCCGGUGUAGAGGUGAAAUUCGUAGAUAUCGGGAGGAAUACCGGUGGCGAAGGCGACCACCUGGCCAGAUACUGACGCUGAGGUGCGAAAGCGUGGGGAGCAAACAGGAUUAGAAACCCUGGUAGUCC